RNAcentral lists this ribosomal RNA (301 nucleotides) under uncultured bacterium. Its description in RNAcentral is "partial 16S ribosomal RNA". It matches the Rfam family "Bacterial small subunit ribosomal RNA", at positions 509 to 807 of the family's 1533-position model. The record is from RNAcentral.
CAGCCGCCGCGGGAAUACGAAGGGGGCUAGCGUUGUUCGGAUUUACUGGGCGUAAAGCGCACGUAGGCGGACUUUUAAGUCAGGGGUGAAAUCCCGGGGCUCAACCCCGGAACUGCCUUUGAUACUGGGAGUCUUGAGUUCGAGAGAGGUGAGUGGAAUUGCGAGUGUAGAGGUGAAAUUCGUAGAUAUUCGCAGGAACACAAGUGGCGAAGGCGGCUCACUGGCUCGAUACUGACGCUGAGGUGCGAAAGCGUGGGGAGCAAACAGGAUUAGAUACCCGGGUAGUCCCUGUCUCUUAUAC